GGGCGCAUAGCUCAGUUGGCAGAACAGCUGACUCUUGAUCAGCGGGUCGUAGGUUCGAGCCCUACUGCGCCCACCA
This 76-nucleotide transfer RNA is filed under the name Candidatus Endolissoclinum sp. TMED55. RNAcentral's name for it is "tRNA-Lys". It matches the Rfam family "tRNA". Rfam says of the family: Transfer RNA (tRNA) molecules are approximately 80 nucleotides in length. Their secondary structure includes four short double-helical elements and three loops (D, anti-codon, and T loops). Lineage: Bacteria; Pseudomonadati; Pseudomonadota; Alphaproteobacteria; Rhodospirillales; Rhodospirillaceae. The record is from RNAcentral.